This 502-nucleotide ribosomal RNA is filed under the name uncultured bacterium. Its description in RNAcentral is "bacterial SSU rRNA". It matches the Rfam family "Bacterial small subunit ribosomal RNA", at positions 21 to 518 of the family's 1533-position model. The record is from RNAcentral.
GGCUCAGGAUGAACGCUAGCGGCAGGCUUAACACAUGCAAGUCGAGGGGCAUCGGGAGUAGCAUACUGCCGGCGACCGGCGCAAGGGUGCGUAACGCGUGAGCAACAUGCCCGUAUCAGGGGGAUAAUCCAUGGAAACGUGGUCUAAUACCCCAUAGUAAUUAUGUAAGGCAUCUUAUAUAAUUUAAAGCUUUGGUGGAUACGGAUUGGCUCGCGUGACAUUAGCUGGAUGGUAAGGUAACGGCUUACCAUGGCUACGAUGUCUAGGGGUUCUGAGAGGAAGGUCCCCCACACUGGAACUGAGACACGGUCCAGACUCCUACGGGAGGCAGCAGUGAGGAAUAUUGGACAAUGGAUGGAAAUCUGAUCCAGCCAUGCCGCGUGCAGGAAGAACCGGCCCUAUGGGUUGUAAACUGCUUUUGUAUGGGAGCAAUAAGGGCUACGUGUAGUCCGAUGAGAGUACCAUACGAAUAAGCACCGGCUAACUCCGUGCCAGCAGCUGC